RNAcentral lists this unclassified non-coding RNA (329 nucleotides) under soil metagenome. Its description in RNAcentral is "partial contains 5.8S ribosomal RNA, internal transcribed spacer 2, and large subunit ribosomal RNA". The stretch from base 1 to 120 matches the Rfam family "5.8S ribosomal RNA", at positions 35 to 154 of the family's 154-position model. The record is from RNAcentral.
GAUAAAGAACGUAGCGAAAUGCGAUAAGUAGUGUGAAUUGCAGAAUUCAGUGAAUCAUCGAAUCUUUGAACGCACAUUGCGCCCCUUGGUAUCCCGAGGGGCAUGCCUGUUCGAGCGUCAUUUCACCACUCAAGCCUGGCUUGGUGUUGGGCGACGUCCUCUUUGGGGACGCGCCUCGAAACGCUCGGCGGCGUGGCACCGGCUUUAAGCGUAGCAGAAUCUUUCGCUUUGGAAGUCGGGGCCCCGUCUGCCGGAAGACCUGCUCGCAAGGUUGACCUCGGAUCAGGCAGGGAUACCCGCUGAACUUAAGCAUAUCAAUAAGCGGAGGA